RNAcentral lists this non-coding RNA (30 nucleotides) under Rattus norvegicus (Norway rat). The record is from RNAcentral. Lineage: Eukaryota; Metazoa; Chordata; Mammalia; Rodentia; Muridae.
UGGGUGCUUGUUCUUGAUGGCAAAAAGCUU